This is a non-coding RNA of Podarcis lilfordi (Lilford's wall lizard), 86 nucleotides long. NCBI's taxonomy places the organism in Eukaryota, Metazoa, Chordata, Lepidosauria, Squamata, Lacertidae. The record is from the annotation of a GenBank genome assembly.
ACACCUCUUACUGUCAGGAAGUUCUUCCUAAUGUUUAGCAGAUUCUGACUAAACAUCAGGAAGGACUUUCUGACAAUAAGAGCUGC